GGCAGUGCGGCGUGCUAUACAUGCAGUCGAGCGGACAGAUGGGAGCUUGCUCCCUGAUGUUAGCGGCGGACGGGUGAGUAACACGUGGGUAACCUGCCUGUAAGACUGGGAUAACUCCGGGAAACCGGGGCUAAUACCGGAUGGUUGUUUGAACCGCAUGGUUCAAACAUAAAAGGUGGCUUCGGCUACCACUUACAGAUGGACCCGCGGCGCAUUAGCUAGUUGGUGAGGUAACGGCUCACCAAGGCAACGAUGCGUAGCCGACCUGAGAGGGUGAUCGGCCACACUGGGACUGAGACACGGCCCAGACUCCUACGGGAGGCAGCAGUAGGGAAUCUUCCGCAAUGGACGAAAGUCUGACGGAGCAACGCCGCGUGAGUGAUGAAGGUUUUCGGAUCGUAAAGCUCUGUUGUUAGGGAAGAACAAGUACCGUUCGAAUAGGGCGGUACCUUGACGGUACCUAACCAGAAAGCCACGGCUAACUACGUGCCAGCAGCCGCGGUAAUACGUAGGUGGCAAGCGUUGUCCGGAAUUAUUGGGCGUAAAGGGCUCGCAGGCGGUUUCUUAAGUCUGAUGUGAAAGCCCCCGGCUCAACCGGGGAGGGUCAUUGGAAACUGGGGAACUUGAGUGCAGAAGAGGAGAGUGGAAUUCCACGUGUAGCGGUGAAAUGCGUAGAGAUGUGGAGGAACACCAGUGGCGAAGGCGACUCUCUGGUCUGUAACUGACGCUGAGGAGCGAAAGCGUGGGGAGCGAACAGGAUUAGAUACCCUGGUAGUCCACGCCGUAAACGAUGAGUGCUAAGUGUUAGGGGGUUUCCGCCCCUUAGUGCUGCAGCUAACGCAUUAAGCACUCCGCCUGGGGAGUACGGUCGCAAGACUGAAACUCAAAGGAAUUGACGGGGGCCCGCACAAGCGGUGGAGCAUGUGGUUUAUUCUAAGCACCGCGAAGAACCUUACGAGUCUUGACAUCCUCUGACAAUCCUAGAGAUUGGACGCCCCUUCCGGGGAUAGAUUGACAGGCGCUGCGUGGUCUGUCGAUCAAUCUCGUGACC
Molecule: ribosomal RNA, 1051 nt
Filed under: Bacillus tequilensis
Lineage: Bacteria; Bacillati; Bacillota; Bacilli; Caryophanales; Bacillaceae
Description: bacterial SSU rRNA
Rfam family: Bacterial small subunit ribosomal RNA
Source: RNAcentral